AGAUUGUUGGUGAGGUAAAGGCUCACCAAGUCGACGAUCGUUAACUGGUCUGAGAGGAUGAUCAGUCAGACUGGAACUGAGACACGGUCCAGACUCCUACGGGAGGCAGCAGUGAGGAAUCUUCCACAAUGGACGAAAGUCUGAUGGAGCAACUCCGCGUGCAGGAUGAAGGCCUUCGGGUCGUAAACUGCUUUUAUGAGUGAAGAAUAUGACGGUAACUCAUGAAUAAGGGUCGGCUAACUACGUGCCAGCAGCCGCGGUCAUACGUAGGACCCAAGCGUUAUCCGGAGUGACUGGGCGUAAAGAGUUGCGUAGGUGGUUAGUAAAGUGAAUAGUGAAACCUGGUGGCUCAACCAUACAGACUAUUAUUCAAACUCACUAACUCGAGAAUGGUAGAGGUAACUGGAAUUUCUAGUGUAGGAGUGAAAUCCGUAGAUAUUAGAAGGAACACCAAUGGCGUAGGCAGGUUACUGGACCAUUUCUGACACUGAGGCACGAAAGCGUGGGGAGCGAACCGGAUUAGAUACCCGGGUAGUCCACGCCGUAAACGAUG
This 553-nucleotide ribosomal RNA is filed under the name uncultured bacterium. Its description in RNAcentral is "bacterial SSU rRNA". It matches the Rfam family "Bacterial small subunit ribosomal RNA", at positions 243 to 811 of the family's 1533-position model. The record is from RNAcentral.